Molecule: ribosomal RNA, 484 nt
Filed under: uncultured bacterium
Lineage: Bacteria
Description: partial 16S ribosomal RNA
Rfam family: Bacterial small subunit ribosomal RNA
Source: RNAcentral
GACGAACGCUGGCGGCGUGCUUAACACAUGCAAGUCGAACGAUGAAGCCGGAGCUUGCUCUGGUGAAUUAGUGGCGAACGGGUGAGUAGCACGUGAGUAACCUGCCCUUGACUCUGGGAUAACUGCUAGAAAUGGUAGCUAAUACCGGAUACGACCCUCGGAGGCAUCUCCAGGGGGUGGAAAGAAUUUCGGUCAAGGAUGGACUCGCGGCCUAUCAGCUAGUUGGUGAGGUAACGGCUCACCAAGGCGACGACGGGGAGCCGGCCUGAGAGGGUGACCGGCCGCACUGGGACUAAGGCACGGCCCAGACGCCUGCGGGAGGCGGCAGUGGAGAAUAUUGCACAAUGGGCGCAAGCCUGGUGCAGCAACGCCGCGUGAGGGAUGACGGCGUUCGGGUUGUAAACCUCUUUGAGUAGGGAAGAAGCGAAAGUGACGGUGCCUGCAGAAAAAGCACCGGCUAACUACGUGCCAGCAGCCGCCGCAG